GGGUUUUGUGGCCUGCCCAACGCCAGGCUAGUGGAGCCGGAGGCUGGCGCCGCCGAGGCCGCCGCGGCCGGGGUGUGGGGAGUGCACCGCGCACGCGCGCCCGUGGGGUCGCCGGCUCCCCGCGCCCGGGCUCCGAGCGGCCGGAACCCUCGCGCCCCGCCCUGCCCGGAGCCACCCGGAGCCGCUGAGUCCCGGACCCGCUCCGCUGGCCGGGCGGGGCUAUUUUUUUCGGCCCGUGUUCUUUCAGCGGCCGGGAAGGAACAUUCUUGGCUUUCCCCGCCUGGCUGCGCCUGUUCCCGCUCCUCCCCCGCCGCGUGUUUUCCGCCCCAGUAAAGAUCGUGCCACACAAAUAAGCCUCGAAUGCCCUUUGCCAAGCGGGCGGGAGGGCACGAGUGCAGAGCCUGAGCGGGCCAUUUUCAGGGCGCGUCUCCGGAGCCGCUAAAAGUCUUGUUUUCUCCCCAAGUGGAAGGUAUAGGGGGCGGGGGCGGCGUGGGGCCGCUUCCAACUGCUACACACGCUCGAAUAGUUGUCAGUAAAAUCAAACUGACGUCAGCCCGGGGGAAAAAGGUCUCUUUUGUUCUCCUGUUCUUCCCCCUCUCCUCCCUUGCGAUCAAAGGCAAAAAACAUUUUUUUGGAGGUGGGGGAAAAGACAAAAAGGAAAAAAAAAUUGCAACGCAAAGAGAUAGCUUCCAUUAGAGCUCCUGCCCGGGCGACGGGAAUGUUUAAUGAAUGCAUCAAGUCUUUUGAUCACCCUCGCCCGGCUGGGUUCAGUAGUGCCGGAAGGUUAGUUGCAUAUCCUGUGGCUGAUCUGAAAUUCGAUCAGCAGAGGGGGCAAAGAAAAGAAAAGCAUUUUAAUGGGAAUCAAUAGAGGAUCAUAGGUCCUGGAAGGAAAUACGUGUUGAUUAAAAAUGCCAGAAGAUUAAAAAAAUGUUCACGACUGGUUAAAAAAUAAGGAGGAAAGGAAAAAGCAAGGGAGGGAGAGGGAAGAGAAGAGAGGAGGAUAGGGGGAGGAGGAGGGAAAAAAACCUCUUAGCAAUCUAUUUUCUGUGUGUGUUGCUGCCAGAGAGGCAGUCAGCAGACCAACAGUUUGUGUAAUGCUUCAAGCUACAGCGGGCAAAUUUAAAGCUGUAUGCUCAGAACAACAUAAUAAAUACUUAUUGAAAAUGCAUUUCUAUUUCUAAGCGGGGUUCACUCAUGCAUUAUACAAAACACCUAGGGCUGCAGUAGCGAGACACAGGGGACAAAUAUGGUGUACUGUGACUCAGGUUCUUAAAACUUGAGCUUUUAGCAGUUGAGAGUAAGAACAUACUUUUUUAAAGUUAAAAAAACAACAACUAGCAGCUUUGAAAGAUACCAAAGACUUAAAUUGCCCGAAACUUUACAUUAAGUCGUAACUUAAAAAAUAGUCUGAUAACUGAGGAUGAGGAGAGAGUGGGAGGGGAGUUAACCACGGUAGAUAGCAUAUUGACUGGGUUACAGAGUGGAAAAUUAUUGCCCUGUAGGUAGGCAAAGUGAUCAACAGUGUGAUAAAAUGGUUGAAGGUUUUAUGAAUAUCCAUCUACUACAGUAGGAAAGGAAAGGCGGCUUUUAAAAACCCACUCUGACACAAAAACACAGCUAUACAUCCUAUUUCUAUGGCUUUUUGGAAAAGAAUCAAUAGCGUUUACAUUUUUACACAUUAAACAAAGAAAGUUCCUUCAGUAUUGUGAAGACAUCCAGAAGGCAAUGAGAUCUCCCAUCCAGGAGAUCUUCAGUCAUGCUGUCCAGUGGAUCCUCCUCGAGUCUGAGCUGCAGCUGAGGUGAUGUUAAAUGACUUCCAAUACUGGCUUCUAAGAGUCUUGCUGUCUCUUGGAAUGAUGGCUCUUGGGACACUCCCUCCCAGGACCCAGCUGUAAUCUUCAAGAAUGAAUUGUGUGUAGGCCAUGUUGUUUCUCCUCUGUGAUGCUUGCUUGCCAUCCCUGCCUUGGAGCCAGCCCAUUAUGGACUGAAACCUCUACAAACUAGCUGGGUCUUCUGGCUUGGACCCGGCUUGGAGAGGAUCCCAGGAAAAAGCACAGAGUGAGUCGAAGCACUGGCCAGAUGGCGACCCUGUGAGCUCUCUGAUUCUCCUUUCUUUAUCUGUAAAAUGAGGGGCUCCCGUCCCCCAUAGCACUGCAAAUCUCUCUCGCUCUUUUUUUUUUGGUACUGGGGAGUGAACUUGGGACCUUGUGCUUGCGAGGCAGGCAGCAGAACCACUGAGCUAAAUUCCCAGCCCUAGCACUGCAAGCCUCAAACUUCACCUUUGGAUCCAAUCCCAUUCUUUUCAAUAAUGUCACCUUUGCUUACUUUUAUAAACACAUAGGAGCAAGUGAUACUUGCUUACUAACUUAAUUAAAAAAAACAAAACAAAAAAAGAACCAUCUCGGUCUCUACAGGUUCUGAAAAACAGCCUUCCAGACCCUGAACACCCCAAGGCGGGGCUUGUGUGCCCAAGCGGCUGGAGUCCCUGGCCUUGGAAGGGUCAGGUAGAACUGCUCUGCGGCGCCCUCUGGUGGCCACUCUCCGGCGUGGUCAUCGUGCACUGAGGGUUCUCCUUGGGCAUGGUGAGGGAGGACAUAUCUGAGGAAGAGAAUUAUUCUGAAAAAUGUGUAUCUGGUAUUUCAAAUGGAGACAUGGAAAAUGACAUCUUUCUAUUCUGGAAGUAGCUCUAUUAGUGUCCAGUGAUGAAGAUGCCAGAAAAAAGUGGCCCAUUCAUUAUAUUUAUGUUGUAUGAUAUUGUACCUCAGAGGGUGAAGUCAAUGAGAAGAAUAAGUAAUUGAAACAAGCAUUUUCCUUCCCUUGGCAGAAAUUCAGUCAUUAGCAAUAUACCUAUUUUACAAGGGGCGAUUAGAUAAAUUAGAGAUUAAAGAAAGUGGAACAGAUGUUUUUCCUGUGAUAAGCAUUAUUCUAUUAAAAAAAACUCCAGAGAGUUAGAAUCUGAGCAGGAAACAUGAAUGCACACUUUUUUUUGGGUGCUUUUACACCAAAGAAAUAGGCAGGAAGGCAAAGAAAUAGAAGGGAGAGAAAGCUGACCGGCAGUGUCAUCCCUGGACAUCGCGGUGACCCACAGUGACAUAACUAGCAGCAGUCCCUUCCGGCCGUGUUGGGAGCAAGCUGGCUUCCUGUGCACUCUGCUCCAGGUGCUUCUUGGACCUCACCUUUAAUCCCUUCAGGAGCAGAAUAGAGGCAGCCAUUGUUCUCUGUUUCAGAUAAGAGAGGAAGGGGAACUCCAGGGCUGAUGAUUUGAGAUGCAGGCCUGGUUCUCAAUCAGCUUGCAGUGUCGCCUGGUAGCUUGUUAGAAAUGCAGAUUCUUGGCCCUGCCCCAGACCUCCUGAAUCAGAAAGCUGGUUGUGGGACACAGCAAUGUGAGUCUCACCCAGCCUUGGGGGAGUCUGAUGCUGCUAAAGAUGGAGAACUGUGGAGUGCAUAGGAAUCUUCUGGGAAGCCCAAAUGACAGAAUUGCAGAUGCUUGGACCCUGGCCUCAGAGACUGGGUGGAAUUGGUCGGGUGGGGUGCAAGCGAUUCUGCUGUGCAGCCUGGUGCCAGUGUCAGAACCUCUAGGGAAAAGAAAGGCUGGUGGGACCGGAACUCAGGUAUGUCUCGUCUCCUCCUCAGUCCUCUGCUUGGACCCACCACCUGGCUGCCUCAGUAGGUCACAGCCUGCCUUUGCGGUGAAGAGAAAGAGGAAGACGUGUGCCUGACUUCACCCAGACUGCACAAGGGGCCAGUGCUUCCUCAUGGACCUGGCGUGUGUCCUCCCCCAAACCUAGGUUGGGUCCAGAAUAGUUCUGUCACCCAGUAUGGCCUCAUGACUCACCAGGACUUGGCUGCCUAUCUUCUGGGGAGAUUUUAUUUUCCUCUAAGAGAGAGCUCCAAGGAAAUGCCACAUACUAACUGUAUGCUGUCUGGUCUUUCUCCAAACUUGGCUGGGAGUGAUGCCCGAACUCUGUACUUGCUGGCUCUGUGGUGAACCCACCUGAGUGAGGCAGGGGAGUGAGGUGGAAAAGUGGGUCUCAGUGGAGUGGCUGAGGCUACAGAGGCCACUCUGCCGGUGGAGGAGGGGUCACCUUCCUUCACGGGUUGGAAACCCAACCCAAGCAGCCAGACACCUCCUAGAGAACACAUCUGAGUCCCACCCUCUCUUAAGGCUGCACUUCCCAUUCUGUCAGGUUCCCUGACCCCCAGGACUCUGGGUCACUGUCAUCUCACCCAUCAACUUGCCUGUUCCACCUGCCUGCUACUUCCAAGUCUGUUUUACUUUAUGGUUGUUUGUGGUUGUUAGGAUAGAAAGAGGCUUUCAAGAGACAAGCGAGGAAACAGUGACCCCAGAAGGAGCAAGUCCUAAGGUUCAGUAGGUACCAGGAAGGUGAAGGUUGGAUUUCUCUAGAGUCGAGAUUCCCAGAACCAGACUAGGCCCCUAACCCUCUGCUUCCUUUGGGGUCUGAAUUUUCUGGGAACUGUACUGUUGGCUGAUUCUGUGUGUCUUCAACUUUUGAUGCCUGGAAGUAGUUUACCCAGAUCAGAUGUGCCUUUUCACUAUUACAGGUGCUUCUUCAGGGUCUCCCUCCCACACAGGAAGGAACAUCCAUUUCUCUGGGGGGUCUGUGUAGACAGCAAACUGUCACUGGAGAGAACUGUUAAUAAUAAUGGCAACAAUACUGUUUAUUCAGUUGUUUGUUCAACCAUUUAUAAUUUGACAAAUGUGUAUUGCAUGUCUGCUGUGUCAGACACCAGGUCCAAUGAGUUAGUGGGUAAUUAAAGUACAAUUUACAGCAUUGUCUGAAAAUAGGUCAUUAUGAAAUCAUUGAGAAAAGCUCCCAAUCCAGGAAUGGGGACACUGGGACUGUGCUAGGAGGGCAUAAUGGGAGAGUGUUUCAGAUGACAAGGAGGGAGAGGACUGUAAGAGCAGGACAGAGGGCUGUGAGAUAUGAGGAAAUGGUAUGGAGAGGAGCCCAUAGUGCAAUAUCAUUGCGGCAGGCAGGGAGUAGGAGAGAAGAAGGCCAAAAGAGGGGCACCUUGUGCUCUAUUGUACUUUACUCUGAGAACAGAGGAGCCAUUCAAGGAGUUAGAAGAGGGGAGGGGCCACACAAACAGGCAGAGUGAAGAAUAAAUUGAACCUGCAUGCAUCCAUCAUCCAAUUUUGAUACUAAUUCAUAGCCAACUUUAUCUCUUCUCUCACUCUUCCUUCCUUCACUUAAAUUAGAGACGCUUUUUGUGAGAAAGUAGAGUUUCAGUUGAUUUGCUUUGGGAUCCACCCCAAGGGGAUUGGUAGAGCACACUUGUAGGUGUUUUUGGAUGGGUCACAGAGGCAUGGCCUCGGGGUCCAUUUCUGGUCCCUUAUUCGCUCUGCUCUAGGAUUGUUCCCCUGCUCUGCUUCCCACUCUCCAUAUGCUAAACUGCUUUGCUCUACCCUAUCCUUCUGCCAUGAUGUUCUUGCCUUGGAGCCAGCUGACUAUGGACUGAAUUCUCUCAAACCAUAAGCUAAAUUAAUCCUUUUUUCCCUUUUAAAUCGUGAGUGUUGGGUACUGUGUCCAGCAAUAGGAAAGCUAAAAAAUUCCUUGAUUUAUGAUGGGGUUACUUCUUGAUAAACUUAUUGUGGUUCAAAAUAUCAUGAGUCAAAAAUGCAUUCAGUACACCUAACCUAGCAAAUAUAAGUUGACUGAAUCUGUCCUAAAUGUGUUCAGAACACUUACAUUACCUACAUUUGGGCAAAAUCCCCCACAAAAAGCUAUUUUACAAUAAAGUGUUGAAUAUCUCAUGUAAUUUAUUGAAAACUGUACUGAAGAUGAAAAACAAAGAUUGUACAGGUACACUGUUGUGUUAUUGCAAAGUUGCACAAUUAUAAAUUUAACCAUUAUAAGUGGGGAUAUCUAUAUUUUGAAGGAAGUCUCUGAUAUUGUCACUUCUUUAAACAUUUUAAUACUUGUUUCUAAAGGAGAAGACCUUGGUAAAUAAAACAGAACCACAAUAUCAUAUCAAAAAAAAUAAGAAUUCCUAAAGAACAAACAUGUACUGAGUUCUUAAAUUUUUUCCUGAUGUUCUUAUAAUUUUUUUCACUUUGAUUGAAUCAGGAUCUAAUAAGGUCCAUAUUGGCUGUAUGUCUCUGAAGUCAUCUCUCUCUCUAUUUAUUUCUCUGUAACACAUUUGUUAAACAGGGUUUCUUUGUCCUGUAUUGCUCCUCAGAGUUUAGAUUUGCUGAUUGUAGCCUGGUGGUGUCAUUUAGCAUGUCCCUCUGUUCCCUGUAAUUAAUGUACAUGGCAGGGACGAAGAUAGGUGGAUAAAAUUCAGGGUUGAUUUUUUUUUUUUGGAUACAUAAACCUCAUAGGUAGAUCUUGGUUCAUAGCACUCUAGAGUCAGUAAUUUUCUUGGUGCCCUUGGGGCAAAAGAAUACCUAAUUUGAUUAGUCAUAUUCAAACAAUUUAAUAAGUACUUAAAUUCAAACAACUAAGUGGCCUUUUGAAAACUAAUGUAUCUAAAUUAAGUAAAAAAUGUUUUUAUUGCAUCACUAAAUAAUCGCAAUUGUUAGUUGUGCACUGAAUUACUUCUCAAACUUUGGAAGCAUAUUGAACACCAUUGUCACAAUUUGCUCUUUUGUCUUGAUCUUUGUGAGCUACCUACUCUCUCCCUGCCCAUGGCAGUGCCAUUCUACUUUCUGUGCCUAAGUAUUUGUCUGCUCCAAGUACUUAAUGUAAACAGGAUGACAUAUUUGUCUCUUUGUACAUGGCUUUUCUUUUUCACUUGAGAUGUUUUCAAGUUCAGGCAUGUUGCAGUAUGUAUUAGCACUUCAUACCUCUUUAUGGCAGAAUAAUACUCCAUUGUGUGGACAUACCACAUUGUGUGUAUCUAUUCAUCUGUCAAUGGACGUUUCAGUUGCUUCUACCAUUGGGCUACUGUGAAUCACGCUGCUGUGAACACUGAUGUACAAGCAGCUGUUUGAGUUCUUCUCUUCAGUGCUUUUGGAUAUUUAAGAAAGUACUUAUAUACCCAAGUCUGGGAAACCCAGCUUCACAGACACAUGACAUCACUGAAAUGGAUGUCACUUGCUCUAAUGGGGAGAGUCAGGAUGGCCCUGAGCUUGCAGUUUGGACAGUACUGGAAGAUUCUUUUUUUCCUUCAACAACUUAAAAUCCUCUGCACGUUCAGGUGCCUCACCUAUGAUUCCACCUGGAAAUCUCGGUUAUAUUUGAAGAGACACCUGACUUAGGGAGGGAUGAAGAGCUGGUGGCUCAGCAGGGGCCACAGUGACAGUCCAGGAAGGAUAUAGUGGUGCCCAGAGCUAAGGCAGUGAAAGGGAGAGAGGGAUUGAGUGAUGUCAAUGUUUUAUGAGCCAGAAGACCUGUCCAGAGGUGCCCAGGCCUGGCAUCAGCAGGAAAGCGGGGCAUGGCGGCUGACUAUGGUGUCUGUGUAUCAGGGAGUCAACCCAUCCCACAUGCUGAGGCUAGUACCUAGGUGUCUUUCUGUCCCCAACUCUGAUCACUUCUUGACUGCAGCUUGAUUCCUUUUUAUCAGCCAAGUGAGGUGGCACAUGCCUGUGAUCCUAGAACUCUGGGAGGCUGAGCAGGAGAAUCACAAGUUCAUGCCCAGCCUGGGAAACAUAAUGAUUUCACAAGACCCUUUCUUAAAAUAAAACAGAAGAAAGGCUGAGGAUGUAGCUCACUGUGAAGGCCCUGGUUCAAUCCCCAGUACCACACACACACAAAAUCCUUUUUGUGGCUUUAGGAGACUGGACAGUUGCACAUACCUUGCAAAUGAGCCCAUUUUUGCUUUUGCUUUGCUUUUGUUUGGCUCUGCUGCCUGGAAAAUGUCAAGUAUCAUCAGUAUCGCAGAAGUAACUUCAAUUUGGGGGUGGAAUCCUGAUUUUUUUUUUAGAAUGUUCUUGCUUACCAGUUUGAUAAAGUGAAAAUUUCUUUUAUUGCUACAGAUUUGAUGAAAAAAAAGAUCAAGUGUUUUAUCUAAUUUUCAGCAGAUAACCGAAAAUUGCCUAGAUGAUGGGUAGACAGGAAACACUUAAGCCAACAUUCCUCUUUUAUUCUGAGGGUUGUGUAAAACUGUCACUUGCCUCUGAUGACACUGUUAAAAUUGAUCACAUGACCGCAGAAAUGCUGUGAUUGAACCCAAGUGUUAAUCCUGCAUGAUGGGAUCAGUCCCCUGCUUGUGUCAUGUGUUGCUUUAUCCCAAAGUCACACUUCAAAAGCAGCACUGGCUUGUGUUGUGUGAAGGGACCUCUCCAGUAGGGAGAUACCAAGCCCAGCCUUGUGAGUGGUGGGAACCCUGCCCCUCCCUCCCUGUCUGUGGAGUGGGCACAGUGAUGCCCACAUGGCCUCCUUCGCUGGGCAGUUGUGGGUCUCAGGAAGAUCAUCUUAUGUGUAUGGGAGUUUGCAGAGCAUCAAGAGCAUUAGGCAGCAUCCUCAGUCAGGAAUCCAUGGCUGGGUGCACCCUGGGAGCUAUAGGAAAUCAGAGAAUUGGGACUCAGAUGACCAGGUCUCCCUGGGCAGCAGUCUGUGACAUGGUGUUCCCAGCGGCUCAGCUCCCUGAGCCCCUCACCCCUCCUGGUGUGAGGAGAGUUAGAGUUGGUGCUAAUAGUGUUUAUUUUAGAGUAAACACAUCCCUAUACUUCAUCAUGCUACAAAGAGAGGCUUUUAGGUUGGACUAUUCCACAAAUAUUUAUAGAGCACCUCCUAGGAGCAAGGCAUUGUUCCACUUUCUGCCAACACUAGGAGAACAAAUAGAUAUUGUUCCUGCUCAGAUGGGGCCUAUAGUGAAGGAGAGAAGGACAUAAAAAAGCAACAGCAACAGCAGAUAACCCCCACACCAAUAAAUAUGUGACUCAGAGCUGUGACAAACGCCGUGAGGGAGAAACGCGGAGUGUGAGGUGAGAUUCUAACAGGAAAAGAGGGGCUGCUUCUCUCUUCUUGGAGGAAGAAAUGGCUUUCGGGCUGAGGCCUAGCCCAGAAGGGGAGGCAGAGGCUUCUGGCAAAAGGAAUAUCUCUGUGAAGGCAGGACUGAAGGGCAGUGUAGAUGAUGAUGAACCAGAAGAGUCAGUCUGGGUGAGGUGCAGAGGACAGGCCACAGUGGCCACAGUAGACAUGGGAACCAGCUAGGAGGCUACAGCUGUCCCCAGGGAGGAGGUGGCUGUAAGUGGAGGGGCAGGGUUGGGAGAGUCUGGGCCUGCUAGACAUACAGGUGAAGGAAUGGGAGGUGUGAGGCCUUAUGACAUUGCCAGGUUUCUGCUACAUGCAGCUCAGUGUAGGAGGUCCCACUGACUGAGGGGACAUGAGCGUCCAGGGCAUUGUGUCAGUCGGCUUUCUGUCUCUGUUACAAAAUACCUGAGAAUAACCACUUAAAGGAGGAAACGUUUGUUUUGGCUCACAGUUUCAGAGGUUUCAGUCCCAAUAGCACUAUCAGCAGUGGGGCAGGUCUUCAGCACAAGAGCUUAUGGAUAACAUUUAAGAUAUAGACCAUAACAGGGACUGUACGAGUUUCCUAAGAUGCUUCUAGUUUGGAAUCUAGAAAUCUGAAACCAGGGCAUAGCAUCAUCACUUCAGUGUCUGCCUCUAUCUUCAGUGGGUUUCUGUGUCUCUCCUGGUCCUACGAGAUUAGAACACCAGUCCUGUUGGAUUAGAAGCCCACUGUCCUCCAUUAUGAGUCAUUUUAACCAAUUUUAUCUGCAGCAACCCUAUUUCCAAAUAAAGUCCCAUUUGCGGGGGACUCAGUUCAACCCAUAACAGGCACACUGUAACUUUUGUGGUGCACCUGGGCCUCUAGGUCAGAGUGACAAUGGAGGAGAUCCCUAAGGAAAGAAUGAAGAGGAGAAGGAGAGAAGGCCUCAAAAGUCAGGACUGAGAACCUGCAGAGGCCAAGGUACUUUUGGAGGAGGCAGAAAGUAAAGGGAAUGACAGAUGUUGCAACUUGUUUUCUUCUACAAAGUAGAAAGUUUCCUGUCUGAGACUUGUCAAGUUUUAAGAAUUCUGGAUUUCAGAGAUUGGCUGUAUAUUAAUACUGUUUGUCAUAACGAAUGCUUGAUAUAAUUCAGACUCUUGCUAUUUAGAAAUUUUUCAUUAAUCUUUUUAUAAAGUAAGCAUUCCUGUUUUGAUGAGAAGAAUUGAAGAAUCAACCACUCAAUGUGAUUUUUGAGUUCCUGAUUUCAUCUCUCAGUGGCACUCAUUGUCCGCCUCUCUCACUGGGGUGGUGCCUGGAAGAUAAUGAAGGAUACUAUUAUGCUAAACCAAUUGGUAACUGAGGUGCCAAGUGAAAUGAAAAUAGUUGUACACAGGCCAGGACUCAGUGAGCAACCUCCCAUGGUGUCUGCCCCAGGAGCAACUGCUUUUACAGAAUAAUGUUUGUUCAGAAUUUGGGUUGAGGUUGAGUGGGGUGUCAAGGCAUAGGGUGUGGGAACUGACACUUAGUCUGUGCGUUCAGUCCCUCACAUGUGCUGUCCCUGGGGUAGGUGAUAGGAGUCCGAUGCUGUGAAUGAGGGCUUGGAUGCACAGGAGUUUAAGGGUUUAUCCAAGUUGUGCAACAGAGCUAGGAUGUUUUUCUUCCCCAAACUUUGCCUUUAAUAUGGUUUAUUUGAAGACUGUAGAACACCUCUGCCCCCACCAGUCACAUUUAUGAGGCACAGAGGCUGACCGGGCUGUGGAACACAGCCAGAGUUUUUACUUAGCCCAGGACACGAGAAUGGGUUGGGUGUCUGGGUUUGUGUAUCAUCUGGGGGACUUUGAGAUCUUUAUCUGAAAACACCACUAAUGUGCCAGGCAUACCACUAAGCUUGCUGAAUGAAAGUCUCCUGGCUAGGAGUGUGUGGGGGAGUUAUUUUGGAAGAUAUCCCUGUGCAAUUUUGGCAUCAACCCAUUUCCCAUCGACAGUACAGUUGUUCCUUCUUAUCUGUGGUUUUCCUUUCCAUGGUGCCAGUUACCCAUGGUCAAGUGCAGAGAAAAUACUAAAGACAAAUUCCAGAAAUAAUUUGUAGGCUGGAGGUGUAACUCAGUAGCAGAGUGUUGAGGUCCUGGAUUCAAUCCCCAGCACUAUAAAAACAAACAAACAAACAACAAACAAACAAGCAGGCAAGCAAACAAGCAAACACCCCUCCCCAAUUCAUGUGUUUUAGACCAUUCACCAUUGUGUGUAGUGUGAUGAAUUCUUACAUCAUCGCUCUUCGUCCUGCCUGAAAGCUAGCUAUCAUAGUAUCAGAGGGCUACUGUUCAAGUGAUCCUUAUUUUAUGAAUUUGACUCUCAUAGCAUCACAGUGCUUAUGUUCCUUCCCCUCCCUCAAAAGCUCUGUUCCUUGGGAAACCCUUUAGUCCCAGCUGAGUUGGGACCAUUGGUCACUACAAUCUUAGCACCAAUCAGAGGUGGUUGCCUUCCCUCAAGUCACACUGCAUGGGCAAAGAGGGGCAGCUCUCUCAGAAGGCAUCCUUUCUGUGGGAUGACAAUGCUCUUGAGUCACCACUGAAGCCAAGCUUUGUAAAUUUCACCUCUCAUCUAGCUGGGUUUUCUCUGAGACCCCUGGAUACAUAUGCUCUGCAUUUGCAAAAUCAGUGACCAGAGCUAAAGUACAAAUGGUGAACAGGGAACAUGGUGGAGCUUGGAGCCUCUUGCAGAAGCAGGCCUCCCCAUUGGGUGGGCCAGCCAGGGCUUCCUCUUGUUUUAUAAGCAGACAGAGUGAGGCACUGAGCUUCUAGAGUCCAGAUUCUAACUGUAACAGGAGCUGAGGCAGGUUAAUGAUGCCCCUAGUAGAGAUUCCCUGUUCCAUGCAAAGAAAUACAGAGCUACCCACAAGCAAUCUAUGUACAGAAUUAAGCUCCUGAAAUUGUGCUAAAUUAUUUGAUUUAAAUACUGGUCUAUCUAGGGAUGAAGACCUAGGCAAAGUAGAUUCCCAUUAAUAAUGAAUGAUUUGCUGUAUUCUAAUCCUGUUAAGCAUACAGUUCCUCUGCAAAUGUAUUAGUGGCGAUGUGUGUUUGUGAAUUAAGCCCUUGGUGUAUCAGGUUUAUGAGCCUAAUUGUCUAUUCAAAAGGCUAUCACUUCAUCACCUCAUGAAAAUUAAAAAGGUCCCUUUUGUUGGAGUGUUUUGUUAAUCCUCUGAAUGACAUUUUCUCUUUCCUUCUCAUUUUCUUUUUAUUGAGCUUUAUUAUGAUUUAAAUGCAACUGAAGCAAAUCCUGCCAUUACACUGAAAUUGAUUAUUAAAAUAAUACUGAUAAUUAUACAUAGGUACUAGAAAAUAACACAUGUGGUGCGUUCACAUGGAGAUUAAACAUCCCCUCCCAUUAUACUGAAAAAGAUGCAGGGGACUAAAAAUAGGAGAACAGUAUAAUAUAUCUCUAAAAUGGGUUAAAGAUUUAGUGACUGCUCUACCUCAAGGAAGUUUGAGUGAUUUCUACUAAAAUUAUCAUCUGGAUCCAAAAAUGACAUCUAAUGAGAAGGUAUGAGCAAUUCAUCUGAAGAUAUCUUAAUAUUAGGCUCUUAAAUGGUUGAAGGACUUUCUUAUUUAGCUCCUUUAUUCAUUUUUUCCCAACUAUGUUUUUCUGUUCUUUGAAAGAAAAAAAACCCUUUUAGAUGAAAAAAUUUCAGUGCUUGUACUCUGUAGUGAAGUAGCACUCAGGGGAAAGUUUUAGCUAAAUUCUGCUUGGCUACAUUUGAACAACAAAAGAAUUCCUCUUUUUUUGGAAGUUAAAAAAUAACCUUUUCUUUUGGUAUGUGUUUAGAAAACUCAAAGGUACCUUUGUUUUUAAACUUCAACUGACUAAGGACUUAAACUUUUGUUUGAAGUAAUUUGCUUUUGAAAAAGCCAAGUUUGGGGAGGUGAGAAAGUGCAUGCUCAGCGCUCUGCCAAGCACUCUAUGCGGGUCUCCCUCUUGCUGCUAAGGAAUGUGCAGAGUCUAUGCCUGAAUGCUUGUAGCAGCAGGCAGAGGGCCCGGUGACCACCUAGACACUGAGCACAUAUAUGACACUUGAGACACUUUAGGAAGAGAUAGGGCUGGUUAGUGCCUUAUUGCUGCUGUAACAAAUUGUCAGUGGUUUAAUACACCACCAGUGUGUUAUCUCAUACCACAAUAUGGCUGGGAUCCUUUCUGGAAGUUCUGGAAAGUAGCUGUUUCCAACUCACUGCAGGAUUUGGUUCCAUGCAGUUGUUGUACUGGAGUCCAUACAUCCUCCUUGGCUGUCAGCUAGGAGCUUCUCUUGGCUCCUAGGGACCUUACUCUGGUCUCUGCAUAUGGCCCUUAUGCCUCAGAACCAGAAGGCUGAGUCCUUCUCACCCUGGGAAUCACUCUGAACUUGCCCUUCUUGUAUCUUACCUGUCUGUCUUCCUGCUACAUCCAGAGACUUCAGCUGGCAAAAGUCUAUAUCCUUACUGACAUCUGUAGAAUGUUGUUUUGCAGCAUAAUGUGACACCAGAAGUUUCUGGAAUUAGGGUAUGGACAUUUUUCUGGACUAGAGAGAAUUACUGUUUCUACCACAGCCUGCAAGAGACUCUUGUUCUAGUCUGUUAGAAUGGAGUCCUGUUUAAAGUGACAUUGUCACAGGAAGGACUUUAUAGUUACUUCUACCAUUUUCCAUGAGCGGAACUCAAGUCAUAGUUUCUACCUGCACUCAGGGAGGGGAUUCCACAAGGAUGUGGGUCAUGGGGGUCACCCUGUGGUGUGUCUACCACAGAGUGUUAGCCUGUAGCUGCUUGGUAUUAGGUUAUUGGUUGCCUCACAGUUGUUGGGCCAGGUGGCCAUUAAGGCUUGGUUACAGUGAGGGAUGGAGGAAAGGAGGGGAGGGAGGCUUUCAUCCAGUCUUUCCAGUGUAUUUUUCCCCCACUGCAGUUGAUCCCAGGUAGCUUUCUUUUGUCUGACUCUUCUGUCUCUUAUUACUAUCCACCUCCACUCACCCCUGCGUAUGGAAUCUGCUGGAAAUGUUGAGAUUUUUCCUCGGAGUUGUCUGGCAAGGUUUUCCUUUUACCUGGACAAUCUGUUAUUUCAGGCUGAGAAAACAGACCUGAGGCUUGGGUGUGGGGACGCGUUGAUGCCUGAGGUUGCUCUGGAGGACUAACAGGGCCUGAGCACAGGACUCGCUCUUGGCCCUCCCAUCUGACAGGCAAGAGCUAGGUGACUGGGGUGCUGAGGAGAUGAGAGAGGCCGCAUAGCGCCUCCUAGAGGGGAGCACCUGAGGUGGGCAUCUAAAGCCACAGAGGGACAGUGUUCUGAUUGUCCCCAGACUCGUUCUUCCUGGCUGUACUUCUCAACUCCCCCCUCUCCAUUUCUUCAAGAACCAUUUGCAAAUUGAGACAUUUCCUACUGAUAUUCCAGGCACUGACACAGAUCUCUUCUUCGCCUGUGGAAUGAGCCUGGCUUAGUUACUGGAAACUUUGCCUCUUUGUUAGGUGGGGGUUUAUCAUCACCACAGCGAGGAGAAGCACAAAAUGCCAUUAACAUGAGAGCACAAACGUGUUUCCUGGAUUUAUAUUCACCAACAAAACAUAAUUAUGUUUCUCUCCAAAAUAGUGAUACUAUUUGGUAUCUUUUCUGAAAUAGACUGCUUUGCAUUUUGUCUUAUCUAGAAAACAGCCAGUUUAGCACAGUAGUUCUCAGCAAAAAAUAUUCUGUCUCCCAUGCCAUUUACUUAGUCUAAAUGAUCUAUUUUAUUUCAGCUCACUGGGAGUUUUGGAUUGUGCCUCUGCUGUAUAUGUGUGUAUGUUUAUAGGUGGCAAUCUUUGUGAUAGGUAGGAGUCCAGAUAUUGACCCUAAAUGAAUUUUAUAACAUAUUAAAAUGUUGCCCCUAUCCAUUGUCACUUUUGUAUAGAGAAGAGAUAUUCCACAGGAGUAGCUCUCAUUUUGUGUUUCAAUUUAAAAUUCAAUUCAGUUCACAUAGUUGCAGUUUAGUAGUUCUGCAAACGUUUUUCCAUCUCAAAUAAGACAGAAAUCCACACUUCUUCCAUAUGUGGAAAAGAAAAGAGAAACACACACACUCUGUCUGUUCUGGGUGUAAGUUCUGCUAGCAUCAUGAACUUGCUAGCGAUCAAUCUCACAGGUCUAAUUUAAGCUGCAACUCAAAGAUAGAAACUGUAAAAUGUAAUAUGACUCUCCUGGCGCAAUGGUUUUUUCGGGGAGAUUAAUUCUGAGAUGUAUUUAACAAGAUUGAAGUAUCAGAGAUUUUGAUAAGUAAGAAUAAGAAUGCUAAAAGGACCCUUUAAUAAAUGAAGACAUUUCAGUGUCUUAUUUUGGUCCUCUGACAGAGCCAUUAUAUCUAAAUGUCUAAUCUCUUACCUUCAUUACUACAUCACUCUUUAGAGAGACUGUCUUAUGUUAUUUAGAAAUCCUGAACAUUAAGAUUCAAUAUUGUCCCUGUAGCUGGUCCUACAUGUUUCUGUCUCUUGCUGUAAAGACCAGGACAUGGAAGAGAAACUCGAAUGGGCCCAUGGUGACUUCUGCCCAAGAUCUCAAUGUUCCUGGAUAAACACAGUACAGAGUAUUGUGUAUGUAUUGUGCAUGUAUUUGCUGUUCAGUGUCUACUGAAAUGCAAUUGCUGGCUUAUGAGUAAAUAGCCAGUUGCCCCCUUAGCAUAGUGUGGAAUUGAUCUCGGCAAAGGGGCUCCUUGGGGUGCCCAGCUGCCCCAUGCAUGUUGCCUAAUGUCCUAGGCUCUGCAGAACUUUCAAAAAAUUAACACACUCACCAAAUAUGUUUUUCUUGCUCAUUAACUUGAUAAAGCUCACUGGUUUUUUAGAAUCACAGUAGCAAGUUAUAAAUGAUGUAUGAAAUGAAAAAUCUUUUCUCACCCAAUGAGCAGGAAGAGAGCACUGACAAUGCUUUGUCACUGCUGCUGCUGCUGUUUGCAAUGACAUCAAGUCAUGGAGUGGGCCCAGGACCAGGGAUGACCUUGGAAGGAGUCAGGGGUGACCAGGCAAUAAGUUCUCAGGCAGACCCUUGAAGUCCCGGGGAUUCCCUCUUCUCGCAUGCAUGGUGCUGGAAAGCUGUAGACAAGAUGAAAGAGUGCAGCAAGGGAGGUGGUGGCCUGCUCUCUGGGGACAGUGUGGCCUGGCUCCAGUUUGGGAGUCAGAAUGUUCCUCUUGCGCCUGUUGAUGUUUGAAGCCUUCCCUUUGCAUUUGGCUUAGCUUGUGUUACAAACUUAAUAGAUUAGCAAAUAUUUGCGUGCUCAUAUACCCCAAACUAGGCCAGCAUUGUAAGGACAAAAUAAGCACAAGCAUAGUAUGUAAACCAUAGAAACUCAGCCUUUGAUGUCAAAAUGCCUGCAUGCUAGUCACGUGACACACUACAGAAUGUACUAAAUCAACAUUUUCCCCGAGUAGAGUUAUUUUAUUUUAUUAUAUUUAUUUAUUUAUUUUUGAGGUGCUAGAAACAGAAACCAGGGCCUCAACCAUGGUGUGCAAGUGCUCACUGCUGAGCACUCCCAUGGGAGUGCACUCCCAUCCUCUUAUUUGUAUUCUUAUUGUUGCCCUUAUAUUAUCACGAUGCUUCAUACAUCAUAAUUGAAAAUAUAUUACUGCACAUUUACCUACUUUUGUAAUUAAUACUUAGUCAUUGUUUUUUAAAAAACGAGAAGACUAACAGUGAGAAAGGACAGCUUGCACUGGAUCUGUCCGAUGAGAAUGGGUCAGUAUUAACUGGACUAUUGUAUAGACCGGAGUGUCUAAACCUGGCCUGUAUCUGCUCUGUACCUAAUGUCUAUAAGGUGUGACUAAAAAAUACAGUGAAUGUUUAAAUUAAAAAAAAAUAUAGUAAAAGACACACUGCCAUUAAUUGUCCUCAAAGUACUCCCCCAUGUUUCAAACACUUAUCCCAUUGUUCCUGCCACUUUCUGAAGCAGUUCUCUUUCAUGUCCUUAGUUGUGCUGCUCUGACAUCCUUAUUGUCCUGAAUCAGUUCAAAACAUUUACUUUCCCUGGUCAUUUUGAUUUUGGAGAAAAGAGUAGUCACACAGUACCAGAUCUGGUGAAUAAGGUGGAUAAGGACACACAGUACUGUUUUUAUAAGCCUGCCUUUCCCUUAGAUGACACUUGGCAGUGGCAUUCACUAUAUUUUGUUCACACCUUGUAAAGACACUCAGGACUUCCAAACUGCUUCAGAAAAUGGCAAGAAUGACGGGAUAGUGUGUUGGAAGUAAGGGGAAAUAUUUAGAAGGGGAUCAAUGACAAUUAUUUUUUACUGUAAUAAAUUAAAAAUAUUUAACUUUUACCAUAUAUUUUGAGCAUACCUCACAGACCAGAGUGCCAACUUACUGAUUUCAAAUGUGUAUGUGAGCUAGGAAGGGAUAUUAUGAUUUGAAAGUUGUGGAUGAGCAUGGACUUUUAACAGGGAGUCUGAUGAAAGAAUUUGAAUGUCUACUGGCGCCAGGCUCUGAGAAUCAACUCUAGCUGUCUUAGCUGCUCCUGGGACUGGUUGUUGUGUCCUGGGUGGGGCAGUGCUCUGACCUCAGUCAGGAUGGGAGGCUGUCUUCACUCCAUGUUUCCAUGAUUGUUAAAGUCCUCCUGAGUGACAUAGGUUUUCUUAUUUAUUUAGUGUAAUCAGAUGACAGUCACAUCAUACAGAUCUUUGGGUCUUUCUCUAAUUUUGGAUGGCUUGGCGUGACUUUGGUCUGCAGUUGUCAAUUUUAAAAUCCAACUGCAAGAGGCGGUGUUGUCUCCAAACUUGAGUGUCUCAGUUUUGUCCCUGUUACCCUCUGCUGCAUAAUAAUUGUUGUUGCACACCCUCUGUGCUGUACUAGAGUAGACAAGUUUAUAGUAUCACUUCAGAAAUCUCAAUAGGCACAAGCAGAAGGAUACUAGUGACUUGAUGAACAGUAACUAUGGGUUUUAAGUUUGGCUUUGGUAUGAGUUUAGGGUGAAUUUCUGGGAGAUUAUCUUUACUCAUUUAGUUCAGCCAUUUUAACAAUAGCCAUCUAAUGGCUCAAUGUUGCUUGAAUAUAAAUGAGUGUCUUACUGGGGGAGCACUGAACUGCCUCUAAGGUGGAAAUGACUGGGGUUAUGACUUGGUUAGUCUGACCUUUCAUCUGGCUUCACAGUUGGCAUGUAUUGCUACAUCAUUAGGAGUUUCCUGUGAUUCUGUCUUGAAUCUCAUGGAUUGGAAAGGUAGCUAAAAAAAGAUUCUGACUGUCUGUCAAGGUUGAUUUUGGUGGAGACUAUAUGUAUUUAUGUUUUCUGAUUCUUCUCAAUAUAAACGUCAAUAGAUAAAAAGCCUCCUAUGGCUUUUAUAAGCGAUGUAAACUAAAAAAUAUUAUAGUAUAUGGUAAACUUCCCAUAGAAGACACUGGCUACUCUGUAAAUACUAGGAAAACAUUAAUCUUGGAAAUUUGGUAUGGCUGUAUUUCUAGAAGAUAGAACUAACUCAUUUUUAUAGUACAUAAAUAACUUUAUUAUUAUUAACCAUUUUCUCAAUGCUUUGGAGCCAGUUCCAAGAUUAACAAAUGGCAGUCUCAAUUCGUCUAGCUGUUUAUAUAAUUACCACCUAUGAAGUAAAAUUUUUAGACAAUAAAAGAGCAGACAGUCUCUAAGAUGAAGUCACCCUAGACACCAGAGAAGACACAUGCAGCUUUGAAAUACUGUUUGCAUUAUGCCAAGGAUUACAGGAUGUUGAGUCCGCAGUAGGAAUUUGGAGGCAAAGAUAGAUACAAUAGUCUUGAUGUUAGGAGGUUAAACGCUUAAUAGAAGUGUGUGGACCUUGCUUUAAGACCGCAAGAAAAGUGGGAAUUGAACAUGACUAUAAAGGUGUAUAGAUUUGGCAGCAUGAAUAUAAGACAAAGAUGAUUUGCCUGCUACAGAAAGCUCUCAGUCUGGGCAUAGAUGUAUAACUAACAAUGUUUGCAAUGUCCAGAUGCCUCCUGCUCCCUGGAUCGGGCAGGUUUUUGGUUUUAUUUUCUCUUCAGAGAAAUUAUGAAAGAAGAUGGUUUGGUGUCUCACUCAUCAUUACAUGGAAUUUGCUCCAGAAAGCACAUUGGGUUUUUCUGUUUACAUAUCUCAACAAACUCAGCCUCUGAGGAAAUACACGGAGAGCCAGCCAGAAAGAUGUGGAAGUGAAGAGGUGAACUAUUCACUUCAAGGCAGCCUUGCCUCUUGGCCCGAAUUGACAAGAUGCUGCCUGUGUGCAUGUUGGAGUUAGUUGGAAAGUUAGCUCAGUGCAGAACGCCCUGUCAUCAAAGGGGACAUUGCCCCUUAAAUUUUGAGAGUACCAGACACACAGCCCACCUAAUAGUAAUGCUAACAGGGGAUCAGAUGCACAUGCAUAUUUAUGACACUCACCUUGUGUUUCUACAGCCUUUCUUCCAGGAACUCAAAAGCUUCAUAAAUGGUACCUCAGGGACUGUGCCAGGGAGUUGAAAGAGAUCACCUGUUUGCUCUUUGACUCAGGGCAGGUUGUGUGGAUUUUCGGAGCCUCCCAGCCCCUCCUGUUCUGCAGUCCCCGGGAGGAGAGACUCACAAACCUCCUACUGGUAGUCCAUCUAAUCAUGAAAUUCCUCCUCUUCCUUGGAAGCCUGUUGUUUUUCUCUCAGAAGAGGCUUUAAUAGCCUGAUCACAACUUAUGCCAGUGGACUGUUCUAAAUUUACCCCAGCAUUCUUUCUUAAAGCCUGCGAAGUAUCUUACUCAGCCCCGACUCUUGGGACUGUCUGGUUGAUUUCCUUGCUUUCCUCUACCCUGCAUAUGGGUGUUUAAGAAUGUGGUAUUUGGGGUCAAAUAGACAUCAGUCCAAGUGAACUUCAACUCCAGUAUAUCCUGGCUGUGAUUUGAGGCAAAUAACCUGCCUGGCCUUGUUAUGGUUUGGUUUCCUAUCUCUAAAAUGGGAAUAAUACUGUACAUGUUUUAAUCCUUGGGUUGUUAUGAGGAUUCAAUGAGAUGAUACAGACUUUGUCAAGUACAGCGUCUGGCAUAUGGAGCUGUUUCCCUGCUACAUUGCUUUAAGAUACAGAGUUCCCUAUAUUCUGAAACAGACAUGUUUUUGAGAAGCUGUGUAAGAGUGCCAGCUUGGUGAAGGCAGGGCUGGGAGGUGGGUCGUUUGUGGUUGGCAACUGUUUUGAUGGAUCUUGAUUUCUUUCCUUGUGGUCAAUGCUCAUGCCAUACUGACUGUCAGAUGUUUACAAAUGAAUGAAUUGUAAGUCUGGCUGGGAGCCAGUUAAAAGAAUAUGUAAUCACCUUGAGCACAUCCUGCUACACAUGCAAGAAACCCAUCUCAAAAAGACAAACACUGUGAUUUCACUUACAAGAGCUACAUGGAGUACUCAGAGUUAGGGACAGAAAGAAUAGUUUACCAGGGUCUGGGGCAGGGAAAUGGAGAGGCAUUGUCUAACAGGGGCAGAGUUCCAGUUUGGGAAGAUAAAAGGUUCAGGACAUAGAUGGUGGUGAUGGCUGUGUUUAAUGACCACAGAAGUGUACAUGCUUAAAAUGCUCAGUUUUGUUAUACUUUCUUUACAACAAUAACAAAAGAAUACAUGAUGAGUAAUUUUGUGAUGAGAAACUUCUUUGAUACCACAAACAAUUAGCCUUUUAGUUUCACUGUGGCGUAUUUCCUACAUAUCAGGCAAUUCAUUCAUCACAAAUAUAUUCCAUACUUGCUUUAUACUGGGUAUUUUGGGGGAUUGUAGAAGAUGGUCUCUAAGUAAUACACUGUAUGCUCCUCAGGACACAUCAUGCAGGCAGGGAAAUGACUGAGAUUGUAGAUGAGAGAGGUCUGUGAGUGGAGGCCAGGAGAAAAGGGAGGACAUUCAAGGUAGGAUAAAGGGCUGGCCCCGAGGCAAUUUGAGUCACUGGAAAGGGUGAAAUGAUUGAGUUAAAAAUUGGGACUAUUAGAGACUUACAUGGAGCCUUGAACACCAGGCAAAAAGGCUUUAGAAUUGAAUCAGCAUGGAGCCAAUUUUGAAAAGAGACAAUAAACAGCAUUCAUGAAACAUUCCUCAGUGGCAAGACCUGGUUUUCAGAGAAGGGAGCUCAGUUCGGGGUGGCUUAUGUGUUUCCCUCUCUGUGGCUGCUGCUUUCUUCAGGGCUAUGCAGCUCUUUCUACAUAGAUGGCCCUACCCUGAUGUGGAUUUCCAGCUCCCCAAGUACGUGCUGAGUAUGUCUAAAACUCUUCCCAAACCAUGCUUCCUCCCAACUUCCAAGUUUCUGUUUUGGCAACACGCUCUAGACACACACAAAAUACUAACGUUUCUUUGCCCCAUGUCUCUCCCUCAAUCUCUGUACUGUAGAUAUUAAAUCAUUUUCUUUUUUCUUUUGGAUUAAAUUUUUUUUCUUUUGACAAAGGCCUGAUGAGGUGCUCCAGUGUUAUGGAAACUAGGGAGAAUAAGAACUUAAAAGGAGCCAGUGGAUUUGGCAAUGAGGUGAUCACUGGCAGCUCUUGAAAGUGUUUUCAGUACAGUGAUAGGAGUCUCUGUGAGACCAUAAAUGGCUGCAUAGGAACUUGCUAAGUGGCCUGUGGCUGAGAGGGGUAUGGCACCUCACAUGAGUCAUUUCUGAUAGGAUGUUUUUUCUUUGCAAGGACAAAAACCUGAAAAGAAUCUUUUCAUCAAAGGUUAUCUGGCUCCACUAUAACCUUGCUUCUCUCAUUCCUCUGUGUUCCCUAGAUGGGGACAAUGGCAGGUAGACAGGAAUACUCCAUCCUCCCAACCUGUCCACAGUACAGUAGCACACACCUGAGCUUCACUGCCUCCUGGAGAAGCCUGAGCCACCUGUUGUACGAUGUGCCCUGUAAGGGCUGGCAUGAUGCAGGGGGUGGACGUGCAGAGCCAUGCAAUUUCUCUGUUCCCCAAUGCUUUUAUCCAGAUUAUUUGCCUUCUUGAAUUAAAUAAUUGAUUAACUUUGAAGCAUUAUAUGGAAUU
This 21817-nucleotide long non-coding RNA is filed under the name Heterocephalus glaber (naked mole-rat). RNAcentral's name for it is "lncRNA (ENSHGLG00000048464.1)". Lineage: Eukaryota; Metazoa; Chordata; Mammalia; Rodentia; Bathyergidae. The record is from RNAcentral.